AUUGAACGCUGGCGGCAUGCUUUACACAUGCAAGUCGAACGGCAGCGCGGGCUUCGGCCUGGCGGCGAGUGGCGAACGGGUGAGUAAUACAUCGGAACGUGCCCAGUAGUGGGGGAUAGCUCGGCGAAAGCCGGAUUAAUACCGCAUACGACCUGAUGGUGAAAGCGGGGGAUCUUCGGACCUCGCGCUAUUGGAGCGGCCGAUGGCAGAUUAGCUAGUUGGUGGGGUAAAGGCCUACCAAGGCGGCGAUCUGUAGCUGGUCUGAGAGGACGACCAGCCACACUGGGACUGAGACAGGGCCCAGACUCCUACGGGAGGCAGCAGUGGGGAAUUUUGGACAAUGGGCGGAAGCCUGAUCCAGCAAUGCCGCGUGUGUGAUGAAGGCCUUCGGGUUGUGAAGCACUUUUGGCGGGAACGAAAAGGACUGUGCCAAUACCACGGUUCGAUGACGGUACCCGCAGAAUAAGCACCGGCUAACUACGUG
RNAcentral lists this ribosomal RNA (484 nucleotides) under uncultured bacterium. RNAcentral describes it as "partial 16S ribosomal RNA". It matches the Rfam family "Bacterial small subunit ribosomal RNA", at positions 29 to 507 of the family's 1533-position model. The record is from RNAcentral.